Molecule: RNA transcript, 1353 nt
Organism: Brassica oleracea var. oleracea
Lineage: Eukaryota; Viridiplantae; Streptophyta; Magnoliopsida; Brassicales; Brassicaceae
Gene name: U11/U12 small nuclear ribonucleoprotein 35 kDa protein
Exons: 9
Source: RefSeq, a predicted model, not a curated record
CGUUUACCUCCUUAGUGUAUUAAACUGGCCGGAGUCGCCGUGAUAGAGUAGAGAAGAUGAGCGGCGGAGGAAACAACGUCGUGAACAAAGUGUUCUACGCGACGUCGUAUCAUCCUAUCCAAGCCGGAAGCAUCGACGGGACCGACGUUGCGCCUCAUGAUAACGGCGUCCGUCGAGCUCUCCUAUGUUACAACGCCGGUCUAUAUGAUCCCUUUGGCGAUUCGAAAGCUGCCGGAGAUCCUUACUGUACCUUAUUCGUCGGUCGAAUCUCUCAUCUUACUACAGAGGAUACUCUUCGUGAGGCUAUGAGCAAACAUGGCAAAGUUAAGAGCUUGCGUUUGGUCAGACACAUUGUGACGGGUGCAUCACGAGGAUAUGCUUUUGUGGAGUAUGAGACUGAGAAGGAGAUGCGUCGUGCUUACGAGGAUGCUCAUCAUUCAUUCAUUGAUGGUAGAGAGAUUAUUGUUGAUUACAAUAGACAGCAACUGAUGCCUGGGUGGAUACCAAGACGAUUAGGAGGUGGACUUGGUGGUAGGAAAGAAUCUGGACAACUUCGUUUUGGAGGACGAGAAAGACCGUUCCGUGCUCCCUUGCGGCCAAUCCCUCAUGAAGAUUUGAAGAAGCUUGGGAUCCAGCUUCCACCAGAGGGAAGAUACAUGUCACGUACCCAGAUCCCAUCACCACCGAGGAGAAAAGGGUGUGUGUCCGAUAGAGAGGAAGGAUAUUAUUAUAGGGGAGAAGAGAGGAGCCCUGUCAAGAGAGAAGGGUCAUAUCACAGUCACAGGGAAAGCGAGAGUGCUCAUAGAAGACGCAACAAAGACAAAGAGGAGCGUUCCAGAAUAGAGUCUCGGUCUGACAGAAAAGACCGAUAUGGUGAUAAGGAAGAUGUUUCUGGGAGCAAAAGAUCAAACCAUGGAGAAGAACGUCCUCACAAACGUCAUAAACACAGGCGUCCCCUUCAUCAUAGGAGGUCUUCUAGCCGGGAUCAUCACCAUUCUUCUGACUUAGACACCUAGUGUUCAAUAGAAACACAGCUCUUUCUCUUUGUGCAAUCAAGUCAAUUAGUCAACCAACGUAUUGACAAGACGUGGAGUAUAGAGUUCAAUGGAAUAUAGAAACCAGUUCCAAAAACCAAAUAAGUUCAGUUACUAAGGUUUAUUGCUUGAUGAAGAAGAAAAUAGAGAGACACCAAUAUGAGAAAAGGAUUUCGUGUGGGAAGAGAGGUAUGAGACCGAACCGAACUGUGGCAGCUCAUUGACGGCCAUGUCGCAUCCAAGGUCUUUGACUACUUUGUAUCAAAUUGUUUUCUUCUUAACCAAGUUUUAUAUAUAUCCAAGCUUCGUCUAUACCAAA